UUNGCUGGGGGCAAGUCUGGUGCCAGCAGCCGCGGUAAUUCCAGCUCCAAUAGCGUACAUUAAAGUUGUUGCAGUUAAAAAGCUCGUAGUUGAAUUUCGGGGUUCUUCCGUUGGUCAGGCUAACAAGUCUGUACUAGCGUGUAGAAUCUCUACCUUCUGGGGAACCAUCAUGUUAUUAAUUUAGCGUGGUGGGAAACCAGGACCUUUACCUUGAAAAAAUUAGAGUGUUCAAAGCAGGCUUACGUCUGAAUACAUUAGCAUGGAAUAAUAAAAUAGGACGGUGGUCCUGUUUUGUUGGUUUCUGAAUCACCGUAAUGAUUAAUAGGGAUAGUUGGGGGCAUUAGUAUUCAGUUGUCAGAGGUGAAAUUCUUGGAUUUAUUGAAGACUAACUUCUGCGAAAGCAUUUGCCAAGGAUGUUUUCAUUAAUCAAGAACGAAAGUUAGGGGAUCGAAGACGAUCAGAUACCGUCGUAGUCUUAACCAUAAACUAUGCCGACUAGGGAUCGGACGAUGUUAA
RNAcentral lists this ribosomal RNA (516 nucleotides) under uncultured Glomus. Its description in RNAcentral is "SSU rRNA". It matches the Rfam family "Eukaryotic small subunit ribosomal RNA", at positions 539 to 1066 of the family's 1831-position model. Lineage: Eukaryota; Fungi; Glomeromycota; Glomeromycetes; Glomerales; Glomeraceae. The record is from RNAcentral.